UGGGGAAUAUUGCACAAUGGGCGCAAGCCUGAUGCAGCCAUGCCGCGUGUAUGAAGAAGGCCUUAGGGUUGUAAAGUACUUUCAGCGGGGAGGAAGGUGAUAAGGUUAAUACCCUUAUCAAUUGACGUUACCCGCAGAAGAAGCACCGGCUAACUCCGUGCCAGCAGCCGCGGUAAUACGGAGGGUGCAAGCGUUAAUCGGAAUUACUGGGCGUAAAGCGCACGCAGGCGGUCAAUUAAGUCAGAUGUGAAAGCCCCGAGCUUAACUUGGGAAUUGCAUCUGA
RNAcentral lists this ribosomal RNA (283 nucleotides) under uncultured Proteus sp. Its description in RNAcentral is "partial 16S ribosomal RNA". It matches the Rfam family "Bacterial small subunit ribosomal RNA", at positions 355 to 630 of the family's 1533-position model. Lineage: Bacteria; Pseudomonadati; Pseudomonadota; Gammaproteobacteria; Enterobacterales; Morganellaceae. The record is from RNAcentral.